AUGCAGCAGCAUGGUGCUAACGUUUACCAAAAAAAAACCCCUGGUACUGAGAAUAAUACGCUUCUGCAAUGUCUUGUAAAUUCUGAGUCUGGCCGUGAUCUGAUUUUGUGUACAGCUCUUAACCUCCUUGCCUCCCCAAGUCUGAUGAAGGACGGAAAGCAAAAGGCGGGAUCGCAGACACGGCUGAGUCAGCAUGCUGGGCAAGGAGAGCAGAAGGGUGGUGAUGUUGCCUGGGAGCUGUUGGGUCAGCGUGAGGAGAGCGACACAGUGCCGUUUCUUCGCAGACCGCCCUUGCCCUCUGGAAGGUUACUCUGGAUAGCCGCUUGGCAGCCUUUUGGCGUGUUCUGGAGCAGAGAUCUCUGCCACAAAGUAAAACCAGAUGUUUUCUAGCUGACUCCAGAAAACAUCCUCUCAACAGAGCAGAGGAGCGCUGCUACGUGGCCACCUAAUGCCGGCCAAGCUCUCUCUCUGGCACCUUGUUUGCCCUCACCACGCAUGGAAGGACGCGGCCACAGCUAGCACGCUGCAGCGGUUGGACUGAAGGAUGAUGUCAGUGUACAGAGCUGGGGACGGAGAGCCGUGGCGGGGAGAGGUGCGCAGCCCUGACAGUCUGGAGUGCUGGGCUAUUGGGUGCGAAAUUAUGCAGGUGGGGAAUUUAAAAGCAGGGGAAAAACCUGUCUUAGAAAAUGCAGCCUUAACCUUGUUUAGAGCUGCCGUUCUGGAACUGUAAAUACUGGCAGAGACUGAGCUCCCGUCAGCCUGAAUGAGUUGUUGUGUUAAGCAGAGCCGUUUGUUACGGGGUGGCUGUGUCUAUCCAAGGGUCCGGCACUGCUUUCCUGAAGGUGCAGGCUUGGUGCAGGCUCCAGCUGAGUUAGGCUUUGGCUGCCCUGGGGUGCUUGAUAUGCAUUUCUGAAGGGCAUGCCUUCAAGGUGGGCUAGUGAGACCACAUUAAAGCCCCUUGCGGUCACACGUGCCCGGAUUUCAGGUGCAUGGUUCCCAACACAAGUUGCACUAAAUUGGUUUAGGGGGCGUUCGAAUUUGGAAAAAAAACUUCUUGGGGUUUGGUUGGACUGUCUGGAUGCAGAUCAGCUGUCCCUGGCGUGUUAGCGUAGACGGGGCUUUGGCAGGCGCACUGGCCAGAUGGGGCAUUGGGGUUUGUUUGACACGGUGGUGCCAAGUCUGCGUGUUGCAAACUGAGAAAAGGUGCUUGCGUUUCCAGGCUAGGAAAACUCUUAGACUAGAAAAAGGACGGAGGAAGGGAACAAAACAGGCAGAAAAUUGAAAACCAAAGCAGAAGGGCCUGUAGUCACGCUGGACUGAAACCAAUUCUCCCGGGUCACACAGGUCUCCAUAAACCCGUGUGCUGCGCUUCUCCACUCUUGCUCAGUCUGAGGGUUAAAAUGUGAAGCAAAAUGGCCCUCAAACGGUUAAGUUUCACAUUCCUCACUUUAGGUUAGUCUUAAUCUUCUGUAGGAGACGUUCGUGGUAAUUCAAAAUGAAUAGUGAAGGCUCUGCUAUCGUCUUGAGUUUUGGCUGUCGGGAGGGAGCAAGGUUUGCCAAGUUGGCUCAGGGAAUAAAAAUAGUCCGUUUCAGUGAUGAGAUCA
Long non-coding RNA from Struthio camelus australis, 1604 nucleotides. Lineage: Eukaryota; Metazoa; Chordata; Aves; Struthioniformes; Struthionidae. The record is from Ensembl.